This 482-nucleotide ribosomal RNA is filed under the name uncultured bacterium. Its description in RNAcentral is "partial 16S ribosomal RNA". It matches the Rfam family "Bacterial small subunit ribosomal RNA", at positions 30 to 507 of the family's 1533-position model. The record is from RNAcentral.
AUUGAACGCUGGCGGCAUGCCUUACACAUGCAAGUCCAACGGUAACAGGUCUUCGGAUGCUGACGAGUGGCGAACGGGUGAGUAAUACAUCGGAACGUGCCCGAUCGUGGGGGAUAACGAAGCGAAAGCUUUGCUAAUACCGCAUAAGAUCUACGGAUGAAAGCAGGGGACCGCAAGGCCUUGCGCGAACGGAGCGGCCGAUGGCAGAUUAGGUAGUUGGUGGGAUAAAAGCUUACCAAGCCGACGAUCUGUAGCUGGUCUGAGAGGACGACCAGCCACACUGGGACUGAGACACGGCCCAGACUCCUACGGGAGGCAGCAGUGGGGAAUUUUGGACAAUGGGCGAAAGCCUGAUCCAGCCAUGCCGCGUGCAGGAUGAAGGCCUUCGGGUUGUAAACUGCUUUUGUACGGAACGAAAAGACUCUGGUUAAUACCUGGGGUCCAUGACGGUACCGUAAGAAUAAGCACCGGCUAACUACGUG